This 253-nucleotide ribosomal RNA is filed under the name uncultured bacterium. RNAcentral describes it as "partial 16S ribosomal RNA". It matches the Rfam family "Bacterial small subunit ribosomal RNA", at positions 524 to 776 of the family's 1533-position model. The record is from RNAcentral.
UACAGAGGGUGCGAGCGUUAAUCGGAAUUACUGGGCGUAAAGGGCGCGUAGGCGGCUUAUCAAGUCAGGCGUGAAAUUCCCGGGCUCAACCUGGGAGCUGCGCUUGAUACUGAUUGGCUUGAAUGCGGGAGAGGAUAGUGGAAUUCCCAGUGUAGAGGUGAAAUUCGUAGAUAUUGGGAAGAACACCGGUGGCGAAGGCGGCUAUCUGGCCCGUAAUUGACGCUGAGGCGCGAAAGCGUGGGGAGCAAACAGG